GGCCUCCCGGCGUGCCCCGGAGUCCAGGCGCUUGCUGGUGCGCGGGGCCGGGACUGUUCGGCCGUCGGGUCCUCGGACUACGGCCUGGGGGACGGGGACGGCGGCCGAGGCGGGGACCUGGGGCCAGGCUUUCAAGCUGACCCUCACGACGUGCAGAGCGUGGCGCGAGGACACUGGAAGGAGGCCACACAGGAGGCUGCUGCUGACCUCGCGGACCUUCUCUGCGUCCGAGAUUCCUUCAGGAAGUUAAGAGCGAGCCCGGCGCGGAGGUCACGCCUGGGAGCCCAGCGACUCGGGAGGCUGAGGCAGGAGGAUCCCAAGUUCAAGGCCAGCCUGGCAACUUAGACCCUGUCUCGAAAUAAAAAGGGCCAGGAGGUGUCUCAGUGGUAGAGCGCCCCGGGUUCGGUCCCCAGGCCCCAGACAGACAGGGGACCGAGGUCAGUCGCCCGAGUUGUUGAGUGCGGGCGGCGGUUAACGAUGUUGGGGACGAAAAUAAGAAUGGCUGCAGUGUGGCCUGAAGAAGAGCAGAGAUCCCUUCUGAGCCGUGGGGGCUCUUCUGACAGGCAGUUGGCCACACAGACCUAGUGUCGCGGGCAGAGGCUCCAAGGAGAACGCUUUUUCAGAAUCUAAUGAUACUUUGCAAUUGAGAAAAACUAGAGUGGCCCGGUGGCCUCUUGACCUCUAACAGACUUGCAGAAUUUAUAGCAUCCUGUUUUUUUUUUUUUUUUUAAAUCAAUCUCCAACCUCUGGAUUUACCUCGUUCCUGUUCAUAUUCCGCAAGGCAUGGCUUCUUUUUGUGAUGAAGCCUGGAUCCUGCUUACGCUCCGCAGAGGGUGGCUUAGUGUCUAGCUGAUCUUUGUUGUCCCAAUUUGCAAAUCUAUUGUGCACCCAAAUAAACUGUGCUUCAUUUUAACCUCCUUCGUGGUUUCUAGGUUUAUAACACAAACCCAGCAUGGAGAUAGGCAAACACAGAAUUCCUAGAGUGAAACAGCUAGAGCCGGCUGGCAGGCCCAGAGCAGUGGUCAGCCGAGGUCCCCUAGGAGAGGGAAGCUGGGGCUCCCAUUCUCCAAGGCUUGAUGGCGCUCUGAGUGGGUGGGAGAAGGAUUGCUAUGGAAGGCUGAGGGCAGGGGCAGUUCCAGGUUACCAAACCCUACAGAGCUGUGAUGUUUGCAUCAGUGUUGUCAUGGUGUCUAGCUGAACUUUGGGUCCCCGUCCUUCCCUUGGUCAGCCUCACUGCUCAGCAGACCUGUUAAAAAACUGCAGACUCUUAGUACCCAUGUACAUCCAUCCUGAGCAGGCUCACAAGCAAGGUGGCCAUGCUAAUGUCUGCAGGCCACCUUUUGCCUGUAAGGCAUCCUGCCUACUCCCUAGGGGUAAGUGGGGGCCCUUAUGGGUAAAGAUGUGCCCCAACUCUGACCCCCAUCAGCCAUGACUCUGCUGCAGGCAACCCGUGGGUGAUGUCUUGGGCCUUGAGGUCUGCAUGUGAUGCGAUGAUCGGUUGCAACAGCUGGAUGUGGGGAUAGCAGGUUGUGGGGUUGGGGUCUGACCUAAUCCAAGGGCCGGGGAGCUGCCAGGGCUGGGGCUGCAAAGCCCCAGGAACUCUGAGGUGUGGUUUCAUUUCUCCCUGGUCUUCAGAUGCCUUGUUUUCCUGCUAGGUUCCAGGCCUGUUCUCAGAGCUGGAAUCAGAUUGGUGCCACCUCGGUCAGUGUUCCCCUCGGGUCAUCCAUGGUGGCCUGUGGCAGAAGAUAUUUGCCUUGGUGAUGGAGAUAGUGGAGAGAAGAGGGACCUGUGCAGCCGAGCAGACAGAUCUGCUGCAGAGGGUCGAGCUGAUAUUUCCACCACUGCCUGCCCUGUUCAGGUCCAUUUGGGGGAAGGGCACUUGAACCAGUUCAGAGACUCCCCUCCACAAGCCUGGGCUGCUGCUCGCUGCAACAGCAUGUGGCAACAUUAGAAAGAAAAGGGACUGGAAACGUGAAUCUGGACAAGUCCCUUGGAGAGCAUGGGGGGCUGCUGUUUGUCACCCAGCAGAGCUCCUUAAGUCUCCUUAAGAGACCCACCUCUGGGUCUCCUCCCCUGCAUGGCAGCUUCUCAAUUCCUGGAAGUCUGUCCUAGACUCAGUUGGCCUCCCUCGUCCCACUGCCAGCCAGGCUCCCUGGGGGCAGUUAAAGGCAAGGUAGCUGUGCCUCCCAGGCAGUGGGAAUUAUUUGUCCCUGUUCCCAGCACUGGCUUCAGCCUUGUGCGCCGACACUGGCCCAGCUCCAGCCACCCAUGGAGACAAGGCCGGCCACAUUUCUGGCUUCUAAAUCUCCAGGCCUGUGGGAGCGGGACAUUCAUGCUCAUGGACGUGUUAAUAGAUAAUGAUUGACUUUUUAAAUGCUUCAUCAACUCCAUCACUUGAGGAGCCUUAGGCAAAGGAGGCUUAGUACAUGAAAUGGACAGAACGUUCCAGAAGACAGGUGAAAUAGCUGGACCUUGCUGUCCUCAUUCAUUGUGAACCCUGACAGUGGCUCACUGGCAACUCAGGGUGCCUGGGGAAGUGCAGACUCCAAGACCUCUGGUCUCUCUCUGAAGUCCCUGGGCCAAGGCCUUGGGCAGGGGAGGGAGUCUGCAGCACCGGUUGGAAGGGGCUGCCAGGAGCCUGCUCUGGCCUGACAGGCCGGGGACCACACCUGGCUCCCCAGGGGAGGACGUGUGGGGUGCUGCCGUGUGUUCGCCCAGGCUUUGGGGUUUCUGGCAUGUGCAUUCUGAAGACCAUGGCCUUACGCAUGAAGCAGCACGUGAACCCGCCUUUGGUGGUGUUUAAACAUGCCUUUGCAGAUCUGGAGCUCGGGGCUUCUCCACCUCUGACCUCUGCAGCCGGGCCCUGUGGGUGGUCCACAGCCCACCAGCGCUGCAGGGCAGCAGCAGCUGUCAUGUUCCUAACCAGGGGCUGGUGUGGAGAGGGAGGCUGGAUGUGGUUGGCUCUGGGGUGGGAGGUGGCUCUCAGGCAUCAGAUAGACUUCCCACCCCACUGGGUCAGCAGUGAAUGCAGCAUGGAUGCUGUCGAUCAGGGCUGUCGCCCCAGUGAUGGUCCAGCUCCCCAGGAGGAAAACCAAGGAGAUUGCGGGUUUCGGCUCUGGAGCACACAAGCCCUGUUAUUGUCUUACAAAGAGCCAGGCCAGCCUCCUGUAGAGCUUUAGUAUGACUUGGUAUCGGGGGUUUUGUAGUUACCUCAAGAAGCCUAAUUUUGAACAAAUAACAGAUUCUCUUCUCUGGAGCAAUGGGGAGCUAAACAGCUUUGACAGGCUCAUGGAAAUAGCUGCUCUCCUCCCUACGAGGCUGCGUUGCUGCGGAUCCAGCGCUUGUGGAAGCCCUCCUGUGUCCGGCUUGUCUACUGCUGCUGUGAUUGCCCCUUGAUGGGGCACGAUGGUGACCUCUCUGGAUCUGCCUCUCGAGCCCCAGCCAUGGGAGAGCUCCAUGGGCUCCUCAGGCACUGCAUGGGUGCCAACAGCACCUACCUUCCUGACUCACGCCCCAAGUCACAGACUGUCCCAGCAUGCGGCACCCCAGAGACCCUGGUGAGAAAACGGCCUUAGGUGGCUUAGGAAGACGAAUCACCACGUGGUAGCCCCAUCCUGAGGCCUGUUCAUACCACAGUUCAACUCAGUGCCCACAGGGCCCCCAGUUUAGGGGCAAUGGUUAUGCCUUUAUGCUGAUGAGGAAACAGGCGGGACUCCUGGGUCUGGGCUGUGGCUAUGACACUGCUGAGCUGCCCACGGGCCACCCCCUGAAAGUGUGCAAGAGAGCUGGGCAGGGGACGUGGGAAGCCAUCUGUCCUGUGCCCCUUGCCAUUCCGAGGACUCAGGACCUGAACCUCAUGGGCACCCGAGCCCUCCACAGGUCUUAAGUCUCAGGAGGGGUUUGAGCCCCGCCCCAGGAGCACAGGAAUGGGUCCCACAGGGACACACAGAAGGACCCAGCAGGGGUCUCCGGUCUUGGCCUCCAGGGGCAGGGGACCCGCUUCAGGAGAUGGGCCGGACCCAUGUCCCCUGAAGGCAGACAGAGAAGCAGGGAGUGUUAACAUUGUCCUCACCUGCCCAGAAGCUCGGCACCAACAGCUGACCAGGCUGAGCUGGUGAUGCAUGGGGUCGGCAGGGCCACAGAAUGGGCACGAGCCUUGUGCCCACGUGGCUUCCUGCCACUGCUCCAUGGAGCUCUGUGAUGCCCUGUUGAUAAGGGGAGUAUUCCGAAAUGUCCUAGGUCCAGUCACAGGGCGAGGAUGGGGGUGUGGGACGGGGAGGUCAAUCAGUUAUCCCACAGGAGACUACUCCGCAUGCCCGAAUGUGAGGUGAGACCCCGACUCAGAGCUCGGUGGAACCUCUGGACCUCGUGGGUCCUGCCGGGAGUGGUGCCUUCUCCUGAGGGUGAUGGUCCGACCCCGACUUGCUCCUAAGGCGUGGAACCCUGCCCUCUCACCUGCAGCGAAUGUAGGUUCCAUCUACAUCUUCAUGAAGGUGUUCCCCUCUCCAGACUUUCACUACAAAGUGUUCUGGCUCUUAGGUCCAGGGACAUUUCCCAACAGUGUCCCUCUGUGGCCAGAGGUGGCAGGACUGUACCCUGAGGGAAGCGCCUUUCAGCUCUCUCUGAUACAGACGGCCUUUGGGCUCCUUUGGGUUUGUCUCAUGGGCAUGUUGUCCGUGGUCUCCUCGUGGUGUGCCAGUGGCGGGCCAGGCUGGCGCGGGCCAGCGGGUCUGGGCCUUCCCCCCGCUCCCUCGGCCCAAUAGCAGGGAGGACCAGUGUCCUGCCAGAGACCAGCCCCCCGCCAGCCCCAGCCUUCCUCAUGCACCAGCACACCCUGGGACCGAGGAGCGCAGCAGCAGCUGGCCAGCCUUCCCCAGCCGCUGUCCUGAGAGAACAGGACGCUCGGGCUGCUGCCAUCCGGGAGCACCAGGGCAGUGCCUCCACUGACCUCAAGCACCGGCUAAAGUCCCCUAUUCACAUUUUAAAAAGGACCAUGUAAAGGUGGAUGGAAAAUUUGUAUGAUUCUAAAAUUCAGGUUUUUUUUUUUAAUUAAAAAUUUUAAAGCUGGGUGCAGUGGCACACACCUGUAAUCCUUGAUUCUUGGAGGCUGAGGCAGGAGGAUUUCAAGGCCAGCCUUUGCAAUUCAGUCUCAAAAUACAAAGAACUGGGGAUGCAGCUCAGUGAUAGAGCUCACGCACAAGCCCCGGGUUCAAGCCCCAGCACAGGAGGAGUGAUCACCAUGAACUGACACAUAAUAAAAUGAAGAUUGCACCUAUCUGUGGACACCUUGUGAUGUGUCCAGUGUACGCUGUGGGUGGGGUUCAGUCAGGUAGACUCCUCUCACGUCUGUAAACACUGUUCUUUGUGCUGGAAACAUCCGGUGCUUUCUUUCAGCUUUGUGAAGUCACAGUGUGCUGCCUGCUGUCACCCUCCUGCGCAGCAGCCCACCUCUGGUGACCGCCCUCUAUUCCUGACUUCUACUCCUGAUUGCUGGGAGACUGACCUCGGGAUUCCACAGGAAUGAGGUCACAGGGGGCCUGUCUUUCCGUGUCUGCUUAUUGGACUUAACAUAUGAUAUUCAGUUCCAUCCGUGAUUUCACAAAUGACAGGAUCUCAUUUUUUUAUAUCUUUAUUCUGUCUUUUUAAUGUGGUGCUGAGGAUCAAACCCAAUGCCCUCCACAUGCGAGGCGAGCACUCUACCGCUGAGCUAUAACUCUAGCCCAGGAUUUCGCUUUUUAUGGCUGAAUAGUAAUUCCAUUUGCAUAUGCAGCAUGUCUUCUUUUCCCACCCACCUGCUGCUGGCCCCUUGGUGGCCUUUGUCUCUUGGUGGCAUGUCGCGACCCCUUGCCCGCAAGGAAGACGCAACUCAGGAAUCUUCUUUCAGCAGUUUAUUCAGGCCCUUGAUAUUUUCUUCAUCUCUCUCUCUCUCGGAUGCCCCUCCCAGCCUUAAUAAAGCAUCUCAAGCCCCAAUGCGAAGCUGCCACGUGGAGCUUUCUCAUAGGGUGGUGAAAAACCAUGCGCCAACUCUCCCAAAUAAGGAGUUGUUUGUCACAGACCACAGCGGAGCCAGCGCCAUCUUGUAAUGAUGACCAUAGUCUGCAGAAAUGGCAGAAGCGGCUCACCACAGUGGCAGGGAGCAUGGAGUACAGACUUUUCUUCCACACAAUCUCAUUUCCUUGGAUGCAUGCCCAGGAGGGCCUGCUGGAUUUCCAUACCAUUUCCCAGAAUUUCUUUCCUUAGAAGAAUAUUACAUAGCAACUAAAAGAUAACCCUGUAGUUGAGAGUGUCCCUGGAGAGCAGCAGGGGGCGAGGGCCUCUCCCCACCUUCCUCCUGGUAAUUGAAUGACAGUCCCCAAACUUGACUCUGGGGCCUGUAAAUACCACACCUGGCACAGAUGUAGCUCCUCCUCCACAGAAGCUGACAUCGUCACCUGUUCCCCAGGGCCACUAGGGCCUGUAGCCAUCCUUCCCAAGCACACCACACCCGGGGUUCUCUGGAGGUGCCUGGGCCACUGUCCCCUGAACAGCAGGGACACAGAGUGCUUUGCUGAAGGUCCAAGUUCUGUAUUCCCACCCCCGUCUCCCGCCUGCAGUAAGGUUUCUAGCUUUAAGACCUUGGAUAUAAUUUUAACUGAGGGAGCCAGGUGCUGUGGCGCACACCUGCAAUCUCAGUGCCUUGGGAGGCUGAGGCAGGGGGACCACGAGUUCAAAACCAGCCUCAGCAAA
RNAcentral lists this long non-coding RNA (6726 nucleotides) under Marmota monax (woodchuck). The record is from RNAcentral. Lineage: Eukaryota; Metazoa; Chordata; Mammalia; Rodentia; Sciuridae.